UACGAAGGGUGCAAGCGUUACUCGGAAUUACUGGGCGUAAAGCGUGCGUAGGUGGUGAGUUAAGUCUGUCGUGAAAGCCCCGGGCUCAACCUGGGAAUGGCGAUGGAUACUGGCUCGCUAGAGUGCGGUAGAGGAGAGUGGAAUUCCCGGUGUAGCAGUGAAAUGCGUAGAUAUCAGGAGGAAUACCGAUGGCGAAGGCAGGUCUCUGGGCUGACACUGACGCUCAUGCACGAAAGCGUGGGGAGCAAACAGG
RNAcentral lists this ribosomal RNA (253 nucleotides) under uncultured bacterium. RNAcentral describes it as "partial 16S ribosomal RNA". It matches the Rfam family "Bacterial small subunit ribosomal RNA", at positions 524 to 776 of the family's 1533-position model. The record is from RNAcentral.